UUGGAGGGCAAGUCUGGUGCCAGCAGCCGCGGUAAUUCCAGCUCCAAUAGCGUAUAUUAAAGUUGUUGCAGUUAAAAAGCUCGUAGUUGAAUUUCGAGACCGGUUUAUUGGUCGUGCUUUUGUACGUACUGGUAUUAUUGGUUUCUCCUUUCUGACGAAUCUUAAUGCCAUUAAUUUGGUGUUUUGGGGAAUCAGGACUGUUACUUUGAAAAAAUUAGAGUGUUUAAAGCAGGCUCACGCUUGAAUACAUUAGCAUGGAAUAACGGAAUAGGACGUUUGAUUCUAUUUUGUUGGUUUCUAGGAUCGACGUAAUGAUUAAUAGGGAUAGUUGGGGGCAUUAGUAUUCAAUUGUCAGAGGUGAAAUUCUUGGAUUUAUUGAAGACUAACUACUGCGAAAGCAUUUGCCAAGGAUGUUUUCAUUAAUCAAGAACGAAAGUUAGGGGAUCGAAGACGAUCAGAUACCGUCGUAGUCUUAACCAUAAACUAUGCCGACUAGGGAUCGGAUGAUGUUAAUUUUUUAAUGACUCAUUCGGCGCCUUACGGGAAAC
This 548-nucleotide ribosomal RNA is filed under the name uncultured Glomus. RNAcentral's name for it is "SSU rRNA". It matches the Rfam family "Eukaryotic small subunit ribosomal RNA", at positions 548 to 1098 of the family's 1831-position model. RNAcentral also lists the same sequence under 1 other name. Lineage: Eukaryota; Fungi; Glomeromycota; Glomeromycetes; Glomerales; Glomeraceae. The record is from RNAcentral.